GGAAACAUGGAGACCUUGUCUCCUCAGCUGUCAAAUCAGAGUAAGAGGAAGAGCACAGGCCUUGCCUUCCUGGUGCGAUUGUUGUCAUGAGUGGAGGGGCCAGAAAUGGCAAAAUAUUUAGAGUCUGGCAACCUGGGUGUGAAUCCCAGCUCUUCCCAUCCUAACUCUGUGCCUUCGGGACAAGAGCAACUCUAAUACUGAGUAUUUGUCAGGCCUGGGUCCCAGUGAAAGCUCUUCAUGUGUAUUUUCCUGCUUAAACCUUAUGACAACCCAGUAGGUGGAUAUCAUGGUACCCUUUUUGUAGAUUAAGAAACAAAGGCUCAGAGAGGCUGAAACACUUAUCUCAGGUAACACAGCUAAGGGGCAGAGCCAGGCCCAUCUUACCUGAAGUUUGAGCUGCAUUCUUCCCCCUCCCCACUGACCUACCCACGUGGAUACAGGGCUUCCUCAUUGAGGACUACUAGGCUUAUUCACACCCACUGUCCAGGCUCAUUCUGAGAGAGAUGGAGGGAAGUCACACCAGAAGAGGUCACAACAGAUAUCAGCCAGGACAGCCCAGCUCUGUGCGGAGCAGAACCAAGGCCCCAGAGCCUUCAGAGCAGCCCAUUUCCUGGUGUUCCUGCUGCUUGCCUCUCCCCUCCCCACCUUUCCCCUGCAGCCUCAGUUCCUUGGUCCUCUGGGCUUUCCAAAGCAGCAGGGCUGGCAGGCUCCUCACUGCCCCCAGGGGGAGAAAUGGCCUGGAAAGGGCACCAGUAUGAAUGGCCAUACUGAGACAAUCAUAUUUGCCAAGCCCCUGACCCCCCAAAGUCCUCGCCUUGGUCAGCUCUCAGGUCAGUGUCUUCUGCCAGUCCUUCUAACCUGGCUCCCCUCUUCUUCACCCCUUGGCCUACUCCUGACACACUGACCUUCCUCUUUGCCAAUCUUCAAAGCUUUCAAGUUCUUCUCCUCUCAGGGAUUUUAUACUUAAACUUCUUUCUGCUCCCCCCACCCACACCUCCCAGCCAUCCUUCACGUGGCUCUCUCUGCUUUUAUAUCACCUCCUCCAUGCAGCCCUCCCUGAUCACCCUGCCUAAAGUAGCCACCUUUAUGCCAGCUGCUUCAAUCUCUUUACCUUGCUUUACUUUCCUUCAUGGCUCUUAUUUUUAUUCCCAUCUAAAAGUGUAUUUUUAUUAUGUUUAUGUCUUUCUCCUCCGACUGGAACUCUCGGGGCAGGGAUAGUGUCUAUUUUGUUCACUUCUGUAUGUGCAGCAUCAACAACACCGCCAGAACAUGGUAGGAUCCCCCCAAAUAUUGCUGAAUAUAUAAGUGAAUAAAAGAAUGAAAAUCUCCCUCUAGAAACUGGCGGGGGCUGCAUAAAGGAGUCAAGGACCACCGCAGUCAACGGGAGGAGAGGGCUCUCCAGGAAGUCACACAGUGGGAGAGGCUGGAGCAGGCACAGCCCAGGUCCAGGAGGCAGGAGACCUGGGUCUUGCCCUGCCACCUGCCAUCAGCAUCCCAGGAAACUUGCAGAGACACAUCUAACUUCCCUGCACCUCAAUCUCUGGUGCUGGAAAACUGGGACUCACUGUUCAGAUGCGAGGUGGGUUGAGGAAAGGAGAAGGUGCUGGUGAUGAAGAGGGCCUUGGAAUGAGAGUCGGGGUCACACUGGCUACAACUUCUCCCGUUCUCUGCUUGAAGCUCCUUUAUGAUUGGAGAGGCUGGCAAGUGAGGGAGGCAAGACCAUCAGCUCUGGAGUCCGACGGCCCAGGUUUCAGAUCCCAGUUCUACAACUUACUGACCUGUUUCAGUUUCCCCAUCUGCAAAAGAGAUUAAAAAACAAAACAAAACAAAACAAAAAACAA
Macaca mulatta (Rhesus monkey) is the source of this 1841-nucleotide long non-coding RNA. RefSeq lists it as uncharacterized. The record is from RefSeq and is a predicted model, not a curated record. Lineage: Eukaryota; Metazoa; Chordata; Mammalia; Primates; Cercopithecidae.